AUUUUUAUUUAAAAAUAAAACCUGCCCAUUGAUUUUAAUUUAAAGGCCGCAGUAUUUUGACUGUGCUAAGGUAGCAUAAUCAUUAGAUUUUUAAUUAAAAUCUUGAAUGAAUGGUUUAAUGAAAUAAAAUCUUUUUUAUUAAUGAUAUUGAAUUUUAUUUUUUAGUUAAAAAGCUAAAAUAAAUUAAAGGGACGAGAAGACCCUAUAGAAUUUUAUAUUUUAAAUAAUAAUUUAAAUUUAAUAUUAUUUUAAUUUAAUAUUUAAAAUAUUUUAUUGGGGUGAUAAUAAAAUUUAAUUAACUUUUAUAAUUAAAUUCAUUAAUAUAUGUAUUAAUGAUCUUUUUUUAUUGAUUAGAAAUUUAAAUUACCUUAGGGAUAACAGCAUAAUAUUAUUAAGAAGUUCUUAUUUUUAAUAUUGUUUAUGACCUCGAUGUUGGAUUAAAUAAAAUUAUUAUAUGUAGAAAUAUAAUUAAUUAGUCUGUUCGACUUUUGAUUAUUUACAUGAUC
This 506-nucleotide ribosomal RNA is filed under the name Mayetiola avenae. RNAcentral's name for it is "partial 16S ribosomal RNA". The record is from RNAcentral. Lineage: Eukaryota; Metazoa; Arthropoda; Insecta; Diptera; Cecidomyiidae.